Molecule: ribosomal RNA, 253 nt
Filed under: uncultured bacterium
Lineage: Bacteria
Description: partial 16S ribosomal RNA
Rfam family: Bacterial small subunit ribosomal RNA
Source: RNAcentral
UACGAAGGGGGCUAGCGUUGUUCGGAAUUACUGGGCGUAAAGCGCGUGUAGGCGGGUCUUUAAGUCAGGGGUGAAAUGCCAAGGCUCAACCUUGGAACUGCCUUUGAUACUGGAGACCUUGAGUCCGGGAGAGGUGAGUGGAAUUGCGAGUGUAGAGGUGAAAUUCGUAGAUAUGACAUAGAAUACCCAUUGCGAAGGCAGCUAACUACGCGAUAAUUGACGCUGAUGCACGAAAGCGUGGGGAUCAAACAGG